AGAGAAGUCUCGCUCUCGCAUAGUACCCCCUUCGAAAACCAAAGCUGAGAGAGAAAAAAGCACACGAACGCACAAAAAAAAACCAGAGCGAUAUACAAAAUUCCCAAAAAUUUAAAAAGAGAAAGGACUUUUUGGAGAGAACACUCAGAGGAUUACAGAGAAUCUAUUUCAUGUCCUCAUGGUUGACAUUAGCACCCAAGCCUUUAUUUCCAGGGCUAAUUCCCCUCGUUUAGAUUGAGCUAUUGGUCCACUACUCCAAAACCCUAGGAGAGAGAAAGUGUUGCAACUGAGGGACGCUUCUUAAUUGUCUCUCUGCUGUGCCCUAGCUUCCCAAUUCUGUGUCUGAAUUGAUGGGAGGGGAA
RNAcentral lists this unclassified non-coding RNA (362 nucleotides) under Hevea brasiliensis (rubber tree). The record is from RNAcentral. Lineage: Eukaryota; Viridiplantae; Streptophyta; Magnoliopsida; Malpighiales; Euphorbiaceae.